UACGUAGGUGGCGAGCGUUGUCCGGAAUUACUGGGUGUAAAGGGCGUGUAGGCGGGGAAACAAGUCAGAUGUGAAAUUCCACGGCUUAACUGUGGCGCUGCAUCUGAAACUGUGUCUCUUGAGUGCUGGAGAGGAAAGCGGAAUUCCUAGUGUAGCGGUGAAAUGCGUAGAUAUUAGGAGGAACACCAGUGGCGAAGGCGGCUUUCUGGACAGUAACUGACGCUGAGGCGCGAAAGCGUGGGGAGCAAACAGGAUUAGAUACCCUGGUAGUCCACGCUGUAAACGAUGGAUACUAGGUGUAGGAGGUAUCGACCCCUUCUGUGCCGGAGUUAACACAAUAAGUAUCCCACCUGGGGAGUACGGCCGCAAGGUUGAA
RNAcentral lists this ribosomal RNA (376 nucleotides) under uncultured bacterium. Its description in RNAcentral is "bacterial SSU rRNA". It matches the Rfam family "Bacterial small subunit ribosomal RNA", at positions 524 to 898 of the family's 1533-position model. The record is from RNAcentral.